UCCUACGGGGCGCAGCAGUGGGGAAUAUUGCACAAUGGGGGGAACCCUGAUGCAGCGACGCCGCGUGAGUGAAGAAGUAUUUCGGUACGUAAAGCUCUAUCAGCAGGGAAGAAAAAAGGACGGUACCUGAGUAGGAAGCCCCGGCUAACUACGUGCCAGCAGCCGCGGUAAUACGUAUGGGGCAAGCGUUAUCCGGAUUUACUGGGUGUAAAGGGAGCGUAGGCGGCAGGGCAAGCCUGAUGUGAAAGCCCGGGGCUCAACCCCGGGACUGCAUUGGGAACUGCCCCGCUCGAGUGCCGGAGGGG
Molecule: ribosomal RNA, 305 nt
Filed under: uncultured bacterium
Lineage: Bacteria
Description: bacterial SSU rRNA
Rfam family: Bacterial small subunit ribosomal RNA
Source: RNAcentral